AUUGAACGCUGGCGGAAUGCUUUACACAUGCAAGUCGAACGGCAGCACGGACUUCGGUCUGGUGGCGAGUGGCGAACGGGUGAGUAAUGUAUCGGAACGUGCCCAGUCGUGGGGGAUAACGUAGUGAAAAUUACGCUAAUACCGCAUACGAUCUAUGGAUGAAAGCGGGGGAUCGCAAGACCUCGCGCGAUUGGAGCGGCCGAUAUCAGAUUAGGUAGUUGGUGGGGUAAGGCCCACCAAGCCAACGAUCUGUAGGUGGUCUGGAAGGACGACCAGCCACACUGGAACUGAGACACGGUCCAGACUCCUACGGGAGGCAGCAGUGGGGAAUUUUGGACAAUGGGCGAAAGCCUGAUCCAGCCAUUCCGCGUGCAGGAUGAAGGCCCUCGGGUUGUAAACUGCUUUUGUACAGAACGAAAAGGUUUCUACUAAUACUAGGAGCUCAUGACGGUACUGUAAGAAUAAGCACCGGCUAACUACGUGCCAGCCGCCGCAGUAA
This 499-nucleotide ribosomal RNA is filed under the name uncultured bacterium. Its description in RNAcentral is "partial 16S ribosomal RNA". It matches the Rfam family "Bacterial small subunit ribosomal RNA", at positions 30 to 523 of the family's 1533-position model. The record is from RNAcentral.